AUAGGUUGUAAUCGGAAGUUGCUCAGUUUAGUGAAGUUGGAAAUCCUACUGGGGUAGGUCGUGGUUUUUAAUCCCUUGAGUGAGGAGUUUUCCAUGUAAAUAUCUUGCCUCAUUUACUUUCUGUCUUUAUCUGUGAAAACAAUUUAGGGAUCAGGUCCCUUAGACUGUUUUGGUGGACUCAUUGGUUCUAUCAGGUCCCUUAGACUGUUUUGAUGGACUCAUAUUUCUAUCAUUGUGGAUCAUACAGAGGAAGUUAAAGUCUCGGGUUUUAAGAAGUUAAAGGUGUGAUGACGGAAAUCAUUGAGAAGACAGAUUAUACUAACCUCCUUUUGGAUUAUACCCUUUCAAAAGACUUUAUUUCCUAAUUUAAAACUGGACAGAAUCCAAAAAACUGUAUGUGGCUGAUUGAUGUGAGUUAUAGCCUUACAAGUUCUUGAUCAUUUGGUAUGUAAAGGCUUGCCCAUAUUGGAUCACCCCCUUUUCUUUAGGGUUGUUUCUUACUUAUUUUUCCACAUGCGUGUUUGAAUUUAGAUACCCAGGUACACAUUUAUGAGAAGUACCGACUGAAAUUUAGCUAUAAAUUAUGUCAAGUAAAAGGGAGGCACCCAAUAAGGGGCAUUGACUGCUACUUUAAAGCCAAGGUGCAGCCGUCACAAGAAGAAAAUGAAAAACAAGAAAACGCAAGCCAAAGGAAGAGGAGAUGGAGGAGAAAAUACAAAGAAGAAGUUAUUGUAAAUGGAUAUCACUUUCAACUUUCAUGAUUCCUAAGGAACGAAAUUAUAUUCACCGAAUGAAGGAUGUACCAGCAAUUGAGAUUAUCCAUAGGAAGGAUGGUGCUUAACUUGGAGCCAGCGAACAAUGAGAGUCUAUGCAGCUGCUAAAGGAAAGUUUCAGUACCUUUAAAAAUGUCAUCGAAUGAGGGUGAGAGUUUGUAAAGAGGUAAACUGAUACCUCCUAAUUGACCAUCUUGCGUCAGAUUCAUAUAUAUAACAAAAAUAACAGCAAAUACAAUUAGAACUUUUGGUGGU
This is a long non-coding RNA of Lycium ferocissimum, 1028 nucleotides long. RefSeq lists it as uncharacterized. The record is from RefSeq and is a predicted model, not a curated record. NCBI's taxonomy places the organism in Eukaryota, Viridiplantae, Streptophyta, Magnoliopsida, Solanales, Solanaceae. The transcript has 3 exons.